Molecule: transfer RNA, 75 nt
Filed under: Candidatus Methanomassiliicoccus intestinalis Issoire-Mx1
Lineage: Archaea; Methanobacteriati; Thermoplasmatota; Thermoplasmata; Methanomassiliicoccales; Methanomassiliicoccaceae
Also listed under: 1 other name
Description: tRNA-Ile (GAT) (tRNA-Ile-GAT-1-1)
Rfam family: tRNA
About the family: Transfer RNA (tRNA) molecules are approximately 80 nucleotides in length. Their secondary structure includes four short double-helical elements and three loops (D, anti-codon, and T loops). Further hydrogen bonds mediate the characteristic L-shaped molecular structure. tRNAs have two regions of fundamental functional importance: the anti-codon, which is responsible for specific mRNA codon recognition, and the 3' end, to which the tRNAs corresponding amino acid is attached (by aminoacyl-tRNA synthetases). tRNAs cope with the degeneracy of the genetic code in two manners: having more than one tRNA (with a specific anti-codon) for a particular amino acid; and 'wobble' base-pairing, i.e. permitting non-standard base-pairing at the 3rd anti-codon position.
Source: Rfam by way of RNAcentral
GGACCCAUAGCAUAGCCUGGUUGGUGCGUCCGGCUGAUAACCGGAAGGUCUAGAGUUCAAAUCUCUGUGGGUCCA